GGGGAGAUGCCCGAGUGGCCAAUGGGAGCAGACUGUAAAUCUGCCGGCGGAUGCCUACGUAGGUUCGAAUCCUACUCUCCCCACCA
This 86-nucleotide transfer RNA is filed under the name Armatimonadota bacterium. Its description in RNAcentral is "tRNA-Tyr". It matches the Rfam family "tRNA". Rfam says of the family: Transfer RNA (tRNA) molecules are approximately 80 nucleotides in length. Their secondary structure includes four short double-helical elements and three loops (D, anti-codon, and T loops). Further hydrogen bonds mediate the characteristic L-shaped molecular structure. tRNAs have two regions of fundamental functional importance: the anti-codon, which is responsible for specific mRNA codon recognition, and the 3' end, to which the tRNAs corresponding amino acid is attached (by aminoacyl-tRNA synthetases). tRNAs cope with the degeneracy of the genetic code in two manners: having more than one tRNA (with a specific anti-codon) for a particular amino acid; and 'wobble' base-pairing, i.e. permitting non-standard base-pairing at the 3rd anti-codon position. RNAcentral also lists the same sequence under 1 other name. The record is from RNAcentral. Lineage: Bacteria; Bacillati; Armatimonadota.